ACGCUCACUUUGGCAGCGUUUAUGCUCAAGUGGGAAUGAUCCAGAAAAAAAUAUCAUGACCCUUGCACAAGGAUGACACACAAAUUAAUGGGGGGAGAGGGAGAGAA
Small nuclear RNA from Trichosurus vulpecula (common brushtail), 107 nucleotides. Lineage: Eukaryota; Metazoa; Chordata; Mammalia; Diprotodontia; Phalangeridae. The record is from RefSeq and is a predicted model, not a curated record.